UAAGGACGGUUAAACAAAGAGUAAGAACGACGACGGCACCAACGUAUAGGACGAUGGACGACGGGGUAGGAACGAGAUGAAUUUUUUUCUUUUUAUAAAAAAAAGGAGGGCUUCCGAGAUCUCCGCCUCCUCCUCGCCUUGGUCCGGAAAGCAGGAGAAAGAUGCCGGUUCUGCAGGUGUUCGAUGCGCGCCCAGGGAGGAAGGGCGUCCGCCUAGUCCCUCGGAGACGUCUAACUGGAACCAAACCAAAGCCUAAGUCCAAACUAGGUUGGGUUUAGGUUUAGCAGACUAAACCGUUCCUAAACUAGUUGUUGACCCCUAGGACUCAACUUAUACUAUAGUUUAGGCCACUUAACCAUGUCAAAGCCCGGACCUAUCUUCGACAUCACUACGGUCUAACCUUCCGCCCGCUCAAACUCCCAUUUAAGUUCCUACUUAAACGAGUCCCAUUAUUGUUGAACGUUCUUCUACCUCGUCCCGGAAACUUAUAGAGUUUAUUCUUUGACUUCGUACCCUAAUGGUGACUUCUCUUGGGCGUCCCACAACACAGAUGUCGUUGAUAAAGUCUAAGUUCCUUUAAACUAAGUCUCGUGUAGAUGAGAUGGACACACCAGCGAAGGCUGGUACAUUCUCUGACGUUUUAACUUAGUUCACGCAAAGGGAACUCGUCUCUACUAUGAUGUAGACCUUGUUCUAUGGUUUGUCUUUUAACCUUGUUAACGGUCAAACGUGGCUCAUUACCGAGUCGACAAGAGUUGUUAGUGUCACAAGGCGUUCCACUAGAGUUAAUACCUCUAUUACUAGAUUUGAAGUAACUAACCGGAUCGUAACUAUUAAAACUCCUACAACUAUGUGAUAAGUCCCCCACACUAAGGUGUAUACCACUUGUUGUUGACCUCUUGUGACUACUCGACAGUACCUAAGGAAGAAGUCUACGGUAAAUGAGAAGGCUACAACGAGACGUCCGUCCAAAACUGUGAAGAAUAAGUCUGAUACCAUACGACCUACUGGACAGUCGUAAGGGGACACGUGUUCUAUUUAGGGAUGGUUCUCGACUGUUCGUUAAGUUACUGUUAAUAGGUAAGUUGCUCGUUUUCUUACAAUUACAUAUACCUCUUGUCCGAAUGGUCCCCCCACGUUACCUUAACAACAGGUGACUGGUCUAUACGUUACCUCUACCUUUGGAACUAUACUAAGCGCUCGCUAUAAGUAGUCUUUUACGGAACGUUGUCAACCUCCUGUCCUUCAAAAGACAUAGAAGGCCUAGAGUUAAUUCGAGGAGGGUCUUAAAUGACUUCGUUUUCGUGGUGAGUCUAUUUUGAAGUGGUUCAUUGUAAUGAAGACUAACGAUAAGUCUAUCUUUGACGGUCAAGUCAGGUAGACCUAGAAAACGUGUCUCCUUGAACUACCAAGUUUUUGUUCACCGACUAAACGUUGGUCCUGUCGAGUAUUUACUACUUCCUGUUGAACCAGUUGUUUGUAACUGAUCUUCCCGAAGUAUAGGAACACUCUUGAUACUCCAACUUUUCUUCCCGAAACCUUUUUCUUCAUUCCUAUGUGACCCAUGUAGUCAUCACCACCUACCGAGAAAACACAGCAGAGAAAGAAGACUAUUAAGACAACUUCUUUCGUCGAAGGCUGUUGAAGUCCUACGUCAAUCAGUCAACCUGCACUUUUGGUUUGACACGUAAUCUCUACCAAACAUGGCGAACCGUUCUUCGCGCGUUUUAUCUGGUCAAAAGGGUUUACGCUACUUAUCUGUACUUCUUUCGGCCCUACAUUUCCUACGUGUUUUAUACCUUUGAAGCCCGUUCAAACAACUAGUAUCCUCGUAACUCUGCGUCUGUUUAGGUUAACUAGCAAGAUAUCGUGAGGAUGAAAAAGUAGUCGGUAGUCUGGUUCACCGACCUCGACAACUGUUAGGAGCGGUGAUUUUAGAGUAUUGCUCUUGGUGUUCCGGAUACGAUUUUUGAUCCAACCAAUUACAACGCUUUUAAUGACCUCUACCGAGCACCUCUAAGUUCCUAGCGGAUAAGUAUAUAACAUUAGUAGUAGAGGCACUUACGUCCUCGUUAGCACUUACAAAUAGGCUAUACCAUGCCAUGCAUGGCAAAAUUAGCAAUCAGCCGACGUUCCUUUUUUUUUCAUGUGGUCAAUUGGUCGGUCGACACUGACAACCAUGGUAUAACACUUAAGCAAGCACUCCAACUGAAACACAACAAGACUGAUUGUAAAACACAUUAGAGUUCUGUCUGUCUAUAACUGAACAUAUAAGUUUACUGAUAAAACACAUUAGAACGGUGACCUCCCUUUCCCAUCUCAUAUACAUGGUUAACAACCGUAACGCACAAGUCUGUGUAAUGAGGUUUUCCGCAUCGGUAUACUAAGAGUUAUAUUGGCUUAAUCUGACUUAAGAA
Molecule: ribosomal RNA, 2417 nt
Filed under: Triticum aestivum (bread wheat)
Lineage: Eukaryota; Viridiplantae; Streptophyta; Magnoliopsida; Poales; Poaceae
Description: partial small subunit ribosomal RNA
Source: RNAcentral